UAAAACAAAUGUUUUUAGUUUCUGCUCACUGGGCUCUAGUAGCUCACCCCACUCCCUUUAUCCCCAGAGUUGCAGGUACAGGAUAGAUCAAGAAGUCGGCUAGAGUGAAGUCAAGUCAUGUAUGUUGUAAUAGAUAGUAGUGGACAUGAACAUGAUGUAAUGAGUAUGUAUGACCAUGUAAUGUAAUGAAUGAUUUGAUGAUGUAUUGAGGAUUAUAGUAGUGCUUGACCUAGAGAUGUGUGAAUCCCCAUUAUGUACAGAGUGUUUAAUGAGUAAUGAUGUUAAUG
Molecule: long non-coding RNA, 287 nt
Filed under: Manihot esculenta (cassava)
Lineage: Eukaryota; Viridiplantae; Streptophyta; Magnoliopsida; Malpighiales; Euphorbiaceae
Description: long non-coding RNA (MESC_LNC012625)
Source: RNAcentral